Molecule: ribosomal RNA, 461 nt
Filed under: Rana tsushimensis
Lineage: Eukaryota; Metazoa; Chordata; Amphibia; Anura; Ranidae
Description: partial 12S ribosomal RNA
Rfam family: Bacterial small subunit ribosomal RNA
Source: RNAcentral
CCGCCAGGGGAUUACGAGCAAUGCUUAAAACCCAAAGGAUUUGACGGUGUCCCACCCCACUAGAGGAGCCUGUUCUAUAAUCGAUGAUCCCCGCUUCACCUAACCCCCCCUCGCCCAUCAGUCUGUAUACCUCCGUCGAAAGCUUACCAUGUGAACGUCCGCAGUAGGCUCAGUGAUUUACCAUCAACACGUCAGGUCAAGGUGCAGCUCAAGGGAGGGGAAGUAAUGGGCUACAAUUUCUAACUUAGAACAAACGAAAGACUAUGUGAAACCCUAGUCACGAAGGUGGAUUUAGCAGUAAAAAGAAACCAGAGUGUUCUUUUUAACCCGGCUCUGGGACGCGUACACACCGCCCGUCACCCUCUUCGAUAGUACCCUAUCUGUUCGUAACCCAAUUCCACGUCUUAGAAGAGGCAAGUCGUAACAUGGUAAGUGUACUGGAAAGUGCACUUGGUAUACUA